UGAAAAUGCAUAAAUUUAUAUGGGUGGGGUC
RNAcentral lists this non-coding RNA (31 nucleotides) under Rattus norvegicus (Norway rat). The record is from RNAcentral. Lineage: Eukaryota; Metazoa; Chordata; Mammalia; Rodentia; Muridae.